CAGUCGCCGCGGGAAUACGAAGGGUGCAAGCGUUAAUCGGAAUUACUGGGCGUAAAGCGUGCGUAGGCGGUUUGUUAAGUCUGCUGUGAAAUCCCCGGGCUCAACCUGGGAAUGGCAGUGGAUACUGGCAAGCUAGAGUGUGUCAGAGGAUGGUGGAAUUCCCGGUGUAGCAGUGAAAUGCGUAGAUAUAGGAAGGAACACCAGUGGCGAAGGCGACCACCUGGACUGAUACUGACACUGAGGUGCGAAAGCGUGGGGAGCAAACAGGAUUAGAUACCCCCGUAGUCCCUGUCUCUUAUAC
RNAcentral lists this ribosomal RNA (301 nucleotides) under uncultured bacterium. RNAcentral describes it as "partial 16S ribosomal RNA". It matches the Rfam family "Bacterial small subunit ribosomal RNA", at positions 509 to 807 of the family's 1533-position model. The record is from RNAcentral.